UGUUCAAUAAACUUUAAUUUUAUGAGUGUGAUUGUAUAUGUAGUAUUAAUAGAGUUAACUUUUUGGUGAAAAAGGUUUUUACUGCCAGUUCAGCUGAUAAUUCACCAGUCUCAAUUGGUUGUCUUAGUGGAAAUACAUGUAAGAUUGACUUUAAUUUUGUUUCUUAUUUUAUUCAUACAUUUUUUCUCUCAGUUAAGCUGAUAUAUUUCCUCUUGUUUCUUUCGAUUAAUUUACUUUCGGUUCCUAUGGUAUUUAUUUACCAAUCAAAACUUAUAUGUAUAUAUAUCAUUCACCACCAAAUCACCAAUGAUGUCGAAAAGAAAGAAAACAAAAAAGUUGCAAAAAAAAAAAAGAAAGAAAACAAAAAGCAACCAUAUAUAGUACCACUGUUGAUUGUAGUGCAUCCACACCAAUAAAUGUUCGCUAGCUAAUUUAAUCAUUACAAAAUAAUUAUUAUAUUUUUCACGUACCACAUGAUGGUAUUGACGUAUCUAGCAAUUUACUCGAAAGCUUAAUCACUACACAUGUUCACGUGGGAAGCCCGUCACUUAAUUUGGUCCGUUCUUAGAGUUGAUGGAUUCAUAUGACUUUAUUAUAUGAUAACCCUGCAAUUCGUAUUACUAGUUUAUAGAAACUUCAAAGAGAUCUUUACAAAAACAUACUGUUACGCUGUAAAUCUUAUAAUACAGCUGGUCACAUGCAUGCAUAAAUUAGAUAACUAAACAAAGAAAGAAGAGCAUAUAUAUAUGGGCAAUUAUCUCAAAUAUGCAUUUUUAAGUUUUUAUCACAAAAUAGCUCUAAAAAUGAUUAAAAUAACUUCUUUUUUUUUGUUUUGAUAACUUUCAUAUUUUUUUAUUUUUUAAAUAACUCUAAACUCUAAGCCUAGAAUGGUUAUUUUUAUCUUUAAAUAAUAUUUAUUUUGGUUAUUUUUUUAUUGAGGGACAUUUUUAUUCUUAAAAAUGACUAUCAUAGUGAAUUUUUCUAUAUAUAUUUGGUGUGAGAAAAACAUAUAUAUUCUGUGAUAUUACUAAUUAAGUUUUGAUUGGUUAGCAUUAGUAACUGAGAGUAACUAGAUUCGCUACUGAAUACAGCGUACCACUUUUACUCAGUUCAAAACUACUUUAAAAGAUAAAAGAACAGCAGAAUCUAACGUAUUUCCGUUUAGUAUGAAAUCUAUAAAAAAAACUUGCGAAAUCUAAAAGAAAAAGAAAAAGCAGAAAGUUUGAAGAUUCAGAGAAAGUUAGCAAGGAGACAGACAGGGCGAGUGAGAGCCACGUGAGGUGUGUAAAAGAGCAAAUUAAAAACCGCCAGAUUUUCACGUGGGAAGUCACGUGAUGGAGCAUACACGUGUCAGCCUCAAAAGAGAAAUAAUAGAGGGAAGAUAAUUGGUCCCACCUUCUCACCGAACACCAAUCAUUUGAUUCCCGCUAAGUUACAUUUCUGCCCCUCACCCGAAGG
This 1458-nucleotide long non-coding RNA is filed under the name Brassica rapa (field mustard). Its description in RNAcentral is "long non-coding RNA (BRAP_LNC003230)". Lineage: Eukaryota; Viridiplantae; Streptophyta; Magnoliopsida; Brassicales; Brassicaceae. The record is from RNAcentral.